RNAcentral lists this unclassified non-coding RNA (4882 nucleotides) under Leishmania donovani. Its description in RNAcentral is "gene:LdHU3.36.2060(CDS-product:engulfment_and_cel l_motility_domain_2_putative)". Lineage: Eukaryota; Euglenozoa; Kinetoplastea; Trypanosomatida; Trypanosomatidae. The record is from RNAcentral.
UGCUUCGUGGCGCGGAAAGUGGCCGGUGUUUGUGUGCGCACCCGACUGGCUUGCCUGCCCGUGGGGCUUUGUCCUGCACCCAUUUGAACAUCUGUGGCGCGUUACUACGGCCGCCUGUGCCGGAGUUGUGCUAGGGAGCCUUUGCUUGUUUCGGGCUGCUGCAGGUUUUUCCAUCUUUUCAUCGACGGACCGCCAAGCCUCUGUGCUGGGCGGUGUUGCGGGUUUCGUUUUUUAUUUCUUCUAGCGCCCCUGAUUUCUGGUGGAUACCCCUCUCAACGACCGCACUAUCCCACAGGCGCCUCUCGACGACGUAGGGACCCUUGAAGGGCGGUGGCGACUGCGGGCUGACACUCACUCAACGUGCCGACACACACGCUCCCACAAAGGCGCUACUUGGCUUGUGAUUGCGCAUCCCGCAGUACCGGUCAGUCGCGUCUUUACCUGAGGUAUCGGCGACCUCCUCGCCGGCACCUGUUUUAGGUUUAUAGUUUUCUAGGUUGGCUGUCUUCUCCCUCUCCGUCUCCGUUUCCUCACAUACUCGCCUUGCUCUCCUCCGCGGCGCGCUCGUUGAGGAGGUGGCGGUUUAUGAUUGUGGCUGCGGCUGAUUGGCGAAUCCUCGUGCUUUCUGUCGCACUGCCCUCCCCCCUCCACCUGAUGCGUCUGUGACGAUGUCGCUGUUGCAGAAGAAUGCCGUUCUGAAGAAGUACCGCCGCGAAUACCGCGAGCAGGAUGUAGCACGGUCAUCUUCCAAGGACGAGGGGCAGACGGAGGAAGGCGGUGAUGACGACACUGCUGUAUAUCCGAAUGUGGAUGCGUUCCAAGUUCUCGGCUCGAUUGCCGGAGGAGCGCUAGCGUCGCCUUCGCCCUCGCCAAGGCUCAUGCGCUGCGAGGAAAACACACAGAUGCCAGCGAUCGGGGCGCCGAGCGUGAAAUGCUGGAGCUCUGGUGUAUCUUCAGGCUUCCACGGUACCACAGCUGCCUUUGAAAGCAUGCACAACAACGCCACGGCGACAGCGACCGCGGGCCCAUCAACCGUUUCCACCAUUCGAUCUCCGUUCCCCCAUGAAGACGGCGGCAACGAGGCGAAUCACGCUGCGCCGACGAGGCCAUCGUGGCCACGCAGCCAUACGGUCCGCGCAGGAGCGGGGGCUGAGGACAAGUAUUUUGACUUGGACAAUUUUACGGCACCUCUCGGCCCGCUUCCGUUGCCGCCUCCGCCGGCAGAUGGCGCACCGCCCGCACUGGCGCCACUAGGCAGGCGAGGCGCCGGCAGCACCGGCCCCCGCUGUUGGAUUAGUUGGAGCGACCUGUCCGGCGAAGAAGACCGCGCCACUGCUGACACCCAUUCGCAGUCGGCACCCACUGAUCCGUCCGUCUCGCCGACAACCGUGACGAUCGGCGGCGAGGCGUUCAUGAGCGUCACAGAUGUGCCCGAGGCAGCUCGAUCGAAUCACGUCGCACGCGCGACUGCUACAAGUGGUCUUGUUCCUUCUGUCGGUGAGUCCUGCGGCCCGGCGAGCAGCGUCGGUGGGUUGUCAUCGCUUGCUUUAGCAGCGAGUAAGCCGAGGACACCCACGGGAGGCGGCGCACAUGUCAGAAGCUCACCACAAGUGUUGACAGCGGUGCAGCAACCGAUUGAGGUGCUCACUCGGGUGCACAAAGAUCCUUCAGAAGAGGUUAGCUCGUCCUCUUCGUCCCCUUCGUCGUCCUUCACUGUCACGGAGCUCGAGGGCGAUUGCGGCGACGCCGACGGCAAGCCUACCACGCUGCGCGAGGAGGCUGUGAGGCAGCUCGAUCUCGCGUACGCGAGCGAGACAUGCGAGCCACAUCCUGUGGAAGGAUGUAAGAACAGUGCCGCAUCUGCGGCGAUGCGACUCGACGUAUCCGACACGCUGCUGCAGCCGCCGACGAGCAUCCUAUCAGAGCCGUCAACGACGACAGUUCACACGAAGGACAAGUCUGCCAUGUCUUAUCGCAGUAGCGGGGGCGCCGCGGCGAAUGGCUCCGUGGGUAGCCGGCGCGUCGUCUACGCAGCUGAAGGCGCCGACGCCAGCGACGAGGGUGCCUUCUCUCCAGUAAGUGGGAUGGACGAUAAUGAGCGAGCGUCCUAUGCUGGCAUGGCGGACGACCGUAACAUACCUUACGCCGAUAAUCGAGGCGCCGUUUUCAUGCAGCAGGUACUCUCGUUCUCAGGAACUAAUCACUCGCUGCCGCGGAUCUGGGACGACGAGGACGUCGAUGUAGAUCCUCUGACAACUGAUUCGAUGCGGCUUCCUGCGCGCGCGCUGCCGCCCAUCACGUUCUACGAAGCAUAUCUGGAUCUGACGAAGGCGAUCCGAAGAGGCGACGCGAAAGGGGCGUGCGAAGCUGAGGAGAGGACGGCGGACAGAGCUUGUUCUUCUUCAAUCGUGUUACCGCAGGCCCCGCCGCCGGUGAUGGCACUGCCGACGCUGAAGAAAGCGGUCCGUGCCGCCAUCUUUUGGUGCUGCGGCGGCAGCGCUAGUCGCGCGUCGACAGUCGCAAAGCAGCUGCAGCCGAGUACGGCGGCUUGUAGUGGGCCUAAUCGUGACGAGCUCAGCGGCGUGGCGCCUGUGGACGAGACGGCUUCCGCACCUGGGGGACCAGAAGAGCAUCUGCGUGUUAUACGCGCUCUGAAGUCUCAGUCAGUUUCGUUGCAGCUCACCACGCAUCGCCGUAUGCUGCUCACUGUCUUCAAUACUCUCACGGGCAAGAUUCCGUGGCCGAGUAGGAACGUGAAUUCAUCCGAAUCUACCCCAGUCACCUCCUCGCCGCCGUCGUCGUCCACGGCCGUCAAGUGGGAGUCAAUCGGAUUUCAAGGGUCCAACCCUGCCACCGAUGUUCGGGCAACGGGUGUCCUCGGCGUGCUUCAGUUGUUGUACCUCAUCGACUACUACCCUGCGUUCGCGCAACGGCUGUGGCAACUGUGCCGCAACCCAGCCGACGAAGGGGCCUCUCACUCCCCGUCUCAUAAUCAUCGCGGCGGCGAGGCACUGGUGGCCGCGAAAAGAGGCAGAGUUUCGAAUGAGCUGCCGUUUGUUCUGGUUUGCUUCAACUUCACGGCGCUGGUGCUGGACGCAGCUGGACAGCACAUUCUUGACGAGGAGGUGCAAAAGACGGCGAACGGCAAGCGCCCCUCUCCCACAUCACAUGAGGCCGCCGCUAAAACGACGGAGCCUGCGGCGCAUCCUUCUUCGUACGCUGGCAUGCAUGUCUGCUGCGAGUGUUAUGUCGGAGCGCUGGCGCUGUUUGCAGAAGCGUGGAGGUCGCGGCCAAAAGGCGGACCCACAGGCGACGGUAGUAUGACGAAGUCCACAGUGCCGGCGAACCGACCUAGCAUUGCCGAUUUUGGCGACAUCAAGGCGCGGCUGCGGGGAAAGCUCUUGAGGAAGGGUGCUGCGAAGAUAAUGCGGGAGGCCGCAUGCCAAGUCCGUGGGCCCGCUGAGCAGCAGGAGUAGGGAGGAGACAGGGAUGUGGGAGGGAAGAAGCUGAGCCGCGUACAACGCAGAAAGCAAGGUGGGGGGGGGGCAUGCCAUCUCAAAAAGGUACAUCGUCCUCCCACUAAACACACACACACACGCCUACUGCCUUUCUCCUCUUUUUGCUUGUUUUGGCCUGCCCUGCACGUACUCGUUCGGGCAGACUCUUCCCAGACUCUCGCCACCUUCCUCAAAAACGCGUGAACGGCUGCCCACCUCUGUGCACAGGACUCUGCGCACUUCUUUGCUUUUCUUACACGUAUUUUUUCUUUGGCCUUUCCCGGCCUCUCAACCCGAUGACGGGGGGCGACACCUCAGUGCGUGGUGUCGCAGGGUCCAGCGCCCCCACGCAUUGCGUGCGGAAAAAGCCAAGCAGCCCCUCGCCCCUAUCCCCUGCCACUGCGGAGCCGCCUCUGGUGGUGGCCCAGCCAAGCGCCUACGGCGUAGCGGAGCCACAGCAAUGCAUCCCCGCUGAUGCCGGGCGGCCAUGUCCUGGUGAGCGUGGCGUCGCCGCGCCCUGCGGUCAGCGAACGCGUCCGUGCCGUUCAUGUGAUGGGCGGAGUGUGGAGGUGGCUCGAAAGGCAUCGCGCCCCCGCCCUCACACUGCCCACUGGUGUGGGGGUGCCCGAGCCCGGCCCCGUGGCGGGUGCACCGGGUGGCGACCGGCGCAACGGCCGCUGCUGUGUGAGUGUGUGUGUGUGUGAGCACUGUUCGACGCAGCGGCGGUGCCCGGGUGACUGGGUCGGCGCACGGCUGCAGGGCUUGCCCUACCGCUGCAUCUCCCCAUGCGCUGUGCCUGUGACCGGCCGAGGGCGGGGGGGUUGAAUGUAGGCUGAACACCUUGCUGUAUGGCAGGGAAUGCAGACGGUGGCAGGCAACAAAAAAAAAACACCAUACAGCAGCUUAUCAUUUUUAUCAUCACUCUCGUUUCCGAAAAGAAAAGAAUGCCCGUUCCGUUAAGUUGUCUCAUGCUCAGCACCAUCUCCACUUUUAUUUUUGUGUUUUGCUCGGGCGAAUUUUCUUAUCCCUCUCCAUCAAUCGUGUGCGUGUGGGGUUGUAGUCUAUGCGAUCACGAUACUGCUUUGCUAUGUUGCUUUUCAUUACGCCCCUUACUUCCAUUUCGAAACUAGAAGGCGACAGCCAACCUUGAAAAAAAAAUAUAUAUAUAACAACCUCUCCCUAUCUCUGUGCUAGUCUCAUCCUUGGGUGGGAGGGUCUCAGUGCUGUGGUGGAACUCGGCUACUACAGGGGAGUGAUGCCUCUCAGUGCUUGGUUUGCUUGUGUUUGGUUGUCAAGACCCACUCUCUUUGGCCGCGUUGCGAUUGCUUUUUUUUUUCUUCUCGCUUUCGUUCUCCUCGGUUGCCGUUUUUACGCGUUGUUUUUCU